RNAcentral lists this ribosomal RNA (201 nucleotides) under Triticum aestivum (bread wheat). RNAcentral describes it as "partial small subunit ribosomal RNA". Lineage: Eukaryota; Viridiplantae; Streptophyta; Magnoliopsida; Poales; Poaceae. The record is from RNAcentral.
GAAAAUUUCAAACCAGUCCAGAUUCGAUGGUGGAAAUUGCGAACAAAAAAAAUCCUCUCCUGCAGCCUUUUUCCCGCAAAAAAUUUGGGCAUUUUUGUGAUUACAUAUAACAUAAGGGGGUUUUCUGCAAAAAACAUGCCACGUCGGCACCUGACGGGCGGGCCCCAUCGGUCAGAUACACCAUCAAUACGUAUAAAUACG